CAUUGGUCCUCCAGGCCCACCUCGCUAGGUCUCUAUUGGUCGGAGCGCACGUCAGUCAUUGCUCAGCCCCCGCCCCCGAUCAUGUGGUCGAUCAGGGGCGUCGCCACCGUACCCACUCGCUCCACUCGGGGUCCUGUUAGCCUUAGUCGGACUCUUGGGCAGAGGGUUUACAGAUGGGAAACUCAGAUCAAACAUCGAGUCAUGUGAUUCAUCAGGACAUGAAGGUCAUCGGCAAUAUGGAGGGGGAGAGCAGCAUAUACCGCAUGGACAAACAUUACACAUGUUCUGUGUGUGGGCAUGGAUUCAACCGAGCGUAUGACCUGGGGAGGCACAAAUGUAUCCAAAAUAGGGAGAGGCCAUGUAAAUGUGGGGACUGCGGGAAGGGGUUCAGUUACCCCCUCUGAGCCGGAAACUCAUCGACGCAUUCACACCGGGGAGAGGCCAUUUACCUGCUCUGUGUGUGGGAAGGGAUUUGUUCGAUUUUGCAAUCUGCGGUCACACCAGCAAGUUCAUAGUGAAGAGAGACUGUUCAUCUGCUCCAUGUGUGGGAAGGGAUUCACUCGAUUUUCCCACCUGCUGAGACACCAUAAAGUUCACGCUGGGGAGAGACCCUUCACUUGCUCUGUGUGUGGGAGGGGAUUUUCUGAUUCAUCCGACCUGCUGAAACACCAGCGAGUUCACACAGGGGAGAGAUCGUUCACCUGCCCCAAGUGUGGGGAGAGAUUCACUCAAAUCUCUCACCUACUGAGACACCAGCGAACUCAUACCAGGGAAAGGCCCUUCAGCUGCCCCGUUUGUGAGAAGAGAUUCACUCAAGCGUCCAACCUGCUGCGACACCAGCGAGUUCACACCGGGGAGAGGCCGUUCAUCUGCUCCCUGUGUGAAAAGGGAUUUGCUGAGUCUUCAACCCUGCUGAGACACCAGCAGGUGCACACGGGAAGAGAUCAUUGAUCUGCUCCAUUUGUGGGAAGGGAUUCAUUCAAUCAUCCAACCUAGUGAAACACCAGCCAGUUCACGAGUGGCUGCACUGCUUUGAUUCUGCUGCUUUUUAUCAGAUUCAGGAAUGAACCUUGUUAAUUAUGAUAUUGGGUAAGUGUUGUUGAUGUUGCUGCUAACUACAGUAACUGAGGUUGCAUUUCUAUAGCGCCUCUCAAAAUCUCAGGCUGUCUUUGUGCACAGUAAGCCUCCACAAACAGCAAUGUGAUAAUAAGCAGAGAUGAUCUGUUUUUAAUCAGAUUGGUUGAGGGUGAAAUAUUAUUCUCACCGGGAAGAAUCCCCCUGCUCUCCUUCAAAUUAAUGGCCAAUGGAUCUUUUACAUCUUCCUGAGAGGGCAAACGGGGCCCUCGGUUUAAUAUCCUCAUAUAUCCUUAUGUUGCUCCUAUGAAGUCUUUUGGGCUGUUUCUCACUGCGUGAAAGAAGCUUUAUAAAUGUGAGAUGAAUGUGACGUUGCAAACAUAGAUGCACUGGAGCAGAUGAUGCUUGUAUGUGUGUGUGUUUGCGCUCGAUCAGAAACUGAGCUCCAGAUUAUUUUGUUGAUUUCUUCUCCAAAGCAGAUGAGAAAAUGGGUCUUUAAUUUAACACUCGGAAAAUUCUUCCAAGCAGCUCCCACAGCAGAGCGCCUCCCUCCCUCCAUUAAGAUCAAUGGUGAAACCCUGGAAAGUGUGGACAUUUUCCACAUCUUGGGAGCCUUCUCUUGGCAAAGACAGACAAAGACAAUGUGCCCACUCAGCCAUUGCCUGACUGAGGAAAAGAGUAUUUGAGGACCAGGAUCUCAAACCUGAGACUAAGGUCAUGGUUUACACUGAUCCCUGCAUUGCCACAUGUUUCAGAGAUUUGGACAACCGAUAAAAGGCACCUCAAGGCACUGGAGAAGUCCCACCAGUGAUGCCAGUGCAAGAUCCUUCAAAUGCAAUGGUGAGGAAGGCGGACUGCAGCAAGAUCCUCUCCCAGGUCAACCUGCCCUGUAUCAAGGGGCUAAUCGCUCUAAACCAGCUCCGCUGUGCAGGGCAUGUCAUUUGUCUGGCUGACACCAGACUCUCAAAGCAACCGCUCUAUUCAGAACUCAGUCACAACAGGAGACUCUCGAGAGGACAGCAGAACCAUUCAGGGAUGUCCUCAAAGAAUCUCUGGAGAGCUCAAACAUUCCCGCAGUCUCAUGGGAGACCCUGGCUUGUGACUGACCAAAACAGAGGAGACUCAUUCGGGAAGGCACUGAACAUAUCAGGAACUUGUGGAGGUGAAGUCGAGGCUUUGGAGGGAGCACACAAACCGCCAGACCCCCCUCAUCUAUCCAACCCUUCAAGCACCACCUGUCCCACGUCUAGUGGAGUGUCCUGAUUGCCCAUUGGAUUUAUUACCCAUCUCUGAACUCAUUGAACAGACUGUAAACCAGUCACCCUCAAUCCCGAAGGCCUGCAUAAGAAGAGGAGAGGGUAAAGCUGACCCAGCUGCUGCUGAGAGCUGACCAAAUGGGAACCGUCACAGAGCCUGGAGCAAAGAGCAAGAGGAGUUUUCAGAGAAAGAGCAGGUUAUCGAGAUCUGAGGAGAAAAAGCCAGCUGGCUAUCAUUAUAAAAUUACUGGAAUCUUACACUGGAGAAAGAGGUUUUAAGUCUUUUUCCUUUCAGGCUAGGAGCUUUUCUGCUGCACUGCUCUCACACAAACCCUGUUCAGGAGCCAAUGAAAACAUUGUUGCCAGGCAGUUCCCCAUUAGACCAGACUCCCUCUCACCACCAUCCUGUCUUUCAUGAUGGACGAUAGGGUCGUGUAACUUUACAAGUAGUUGCUGCAAAUGGAGGAGGAAGGUUCAGAAUGGACAAAUUUCCUUUUACUUUCUGGAUCUCUCUAGCUUUUCAUUCAGAUCUGCCAGCGUGACAUUGGCCAGCUAAAUUUCUCUGUUCCCUUCACUCACUCUGACCUAUCUCCCUCUGAACUGGUCAUUCUCCAUUCUCUCAGGUCCAAGCCUGAGGUGACCGGGGUUUGUGUGAAAGCAGUGCAGCAGAGUGUGCAAUGUGGAAGGGGAGAGCAGCAUUCACAACGCGGACAAACUGUACACGUGUUCCAUGUGUGGAUGUGGAUUCGACCAAUUGACCUGCGGAACCACAAGUGUAACCAAGACAGGGAGAGGCUGUGUAAAUGUGGGGAGUGCAGGAAGGGAUUCAAUUGCCCCUCCGCACUGGAUGCAGCCCUAAUAGGGAGAGACUGUUCACCUGCUCUGUGUGUGGAUAAGGAUUCACUCAAUCUUCCCCCUUGUGGGUACACCAGGGAGUUCACACUGGGCAGAGACCCUUCACCUGCUCCGUGAGUUGGAAGGGAUUGAAUCGAUCAUCCAACCUGGUGAAACAGCAGCAAAUUCACACCGGGGAGAGACCCUUCACCUGUCCUGAGUGUGGGAAGAGAUUUAAUUGAUCAUUCAAUCUGGUGAAACACCAAUGAGUUCACAUGUGACUGCACUACUCUGAUUCUGCUGCUGUUAAUCAGAUUCAGGAGAGAACCUUGUUAAUUAUGAUAUUGGGGAAUGUUGAUGUUAUUGCUGAUAACCACAGUAACUGGGCUAGAGUUGACAGAAUUUGCAUUUAUGUCGCUCUAUUCACAGCCUCAGGACAUUUCUGUACUCCAUAAGCCUCCACAAACAGCAAUGUGAUCAUGACCAGAGAGGUGAUCUGUUUUUAGUGAAAUUGGUUGAGGGUGGAACAUUGGCCUCACCGGGGAGAACUUCCCUGCUCUCCUUUGAAAUACUGACUGUGGGACCUUUCACAUCUGCCUGAGAGGGCAGAUGGGGCACUUGGUAUAACAUCCUCAUAUCUCCUUCUGUGGUUCAGGGUCAUCACUCUGUGAAGUCCCUUGGGUUGUUUCUCACUGCAUGAAAGUAGCUUUAUAAAUGUGAGAUGAAUGCGACAUCACAGACAUAGCUGUGCAGGGUAAAACUGAACCAGGUACUGCCUGCAGCUGAGAGCUGAACACACAGGAACCAUCACAGAGCCUGGAGCAAAGAGAUAAAGACCCAAAGAAAGGCGGGAUGAAUGAAUCUGAUUUUAAAAUGCCUCAUGGCAGGCGGGGAAUCUGUCCAGCUUCUGUAAAAUAAUAGUACAGAGAGUGGGGAGGGAGCACUACAAAAUACACUCUGUAUCAUCCUCACAACUUACUUUCCUACUUAUCUUUGUACCAUUAGCAAAUGUGACUACAAUACAGUCAGUCCCUUCAUCCCAGUUAUUGAUAUAAGUUGUAAAUAGUUGAGACCCCAGCACUGAAUCCUUUGGCUGUCCACUAGUUAGUUUGCCAAACUGAAAAUGGUCCAUUUAUCUGCUCCCUGUUAGUUAACUAAUGCUCUAACCAGGCUAAUAUAUCACUCCCAAAACCAUGAGCUCUUGUCUUGUGCAGCAAGCAGCCUUCUAAGUCGCACUUUAUCAAAUGUUGUUUGGAAAUUCAAAUGCACUACAUCUGUUGGUACCAAUUUAUCCACCCUAUAUGUUACAUCCUGAAAGAACACUAAUAAAUUUGUCAAACAUGACUUUGCUUUUAUAAA
Long non-coding RNA from Carcharodon carcharias (great white shark), 4523 nucleotides. RefSeq lists it as uncharacterized. The record is from RefSeq and is a predicted model, not a curated record. NCBI's taxonomy places the organism in Eukaryota, Metazoa, Chordata, Chondrichthyes, Lamniformes, Lamnidae. The transcript has 3 exons.